CCCAGUCCAAAUGACCGUUUUGCCCCUAACCUUUCAUAUUUUUAAAAUUUAGUCCCUAGGCUCGUAUAAUGAAACACGUGCACUUUUUAUCUUACCCAAGCCUAGCCGAACACUUUUCCUUCUUAUGGUAACCCACAUUUUCCAUUAUUUUCUCAUUUCUACCACACAUUUACAUCCUUUGCAAAAUAGUCCCUAUAAGGGUUUUUCAUGAAAAUCAACUAGGAAAAGAUGUUUAAUACACAUUCAUCUUUCAUAUUCCUCCAUAAUCCAUCAAA
RNAcentral lists this long non-coding RNA (275 nucleotides) under Gossypium barbadense (sea-island cotton). RNAcentral's name for it is "long non-coding RNA (GBAR_LNC001350)". The record is from RNAcentral. Lineage: Eukaryota; Viridiplantae; Streptophyta; Magnoliopsida; Malvales; Malvaceae.